This 261-nucleotide ribosomal RNA is filed under the name uncultured euryarchaeote. RNAcentral's name for it is "partial 16S ribosomal RNA". It matches the Rfam family "Archaeal small subunit ribosomal RNA", at positions 447 to 708 of the family's 1478-position model. The record is from RNAcentral. Lineage: Archaea; Methanobacteriati; Methanobacteriota. RNAcentral also lists the same sequence under 1 other name.
UAAGACGGGUGCCAGCCGCCGCGGUCAUACCCGCAGCCCGAGUGGGGGCCACUAUUAUUGGGUCUAAAACAUCCGUAGCCGGUCUGGCAAAUGCCUAGGGAAAUCGGAUGGCUCAACCAUUCGAAGUCUAGGUAGACUGCUGGACUUGAGACCGGGAGAGGUCAGAGGUACUCUUGGGGUAGCGGUAAAAUGCUGUAAUCCUGAGAGGACCACCAGUGGCGAAAGCGUCUGACCAUAACGGCUCUGACGGUAAGGGAUGAA